Molecule: ribosomal RNA, 465 nt
Filed under: uncultured bacterium
Lineage: Bacteria
Description: bacterial SSU rRNA
Rfam family: Bacterial small subunit ribosomal RNA
Source: RNAcentral
UAAUACGUAGGGAGCGAGCGUUGUCCGGAUUUACUGGGUGUAAAGGGAGCGCAGGCGGGACUUCAAGUUGGAUGUGAAAUGUCGAGGCUUAACCUCGGAACUGCAUCCAAAACUGUAGUUCUUGAGUGGAGUAGAGGCAAGCGGAAUUCCGAGUGUAGCGGUGAAAUGCGUAGAUAUUCGGAGGAACACCAGUGGCGAAGGCGGCUUGCUGGGCUCUAACUGACGCUGAGGCUCGAAAGUGUGGGGAGCAAACAGGAUUAGAUACCCUGGUAGUCCACGCCGUAAACGAUGGAUACUAGGUGUGGGGGGACUGACCCCUUCCGUGCCGCAGUUAACACAAUAAGUAUCCCACCUGGGGAGUACGAUCGCCAAGAUUGAAACUCAAAGGAAUUGACGGGGGCCCGCCACAAACAGUGGAUUAUGUGGUUCUAAUUCCGACGCAACAGCGAAAACCUCUUAACCGCG